Molecule: ribosomal RNA, 468 nt
Filed under: uncultured bacterium
Lineage: Bacteria
Description: partial 16S ribosomal RNA
Rfam family: Bacterial small subunit ribosomal RNA
Source: RNAcentral
GAUGAACGCUGGCGGCGUGCUUAACACAUGCAAGUCGAACGGAAAGGCCCUGCUUUUGUGGCUUUCUCGAUUGGCGAAGGGGGGAGUAACACGUGAGUAACCUCCCCUUAACUUUGGGAUAACUUCAGGAAACUGGGGCUAAUACCGGAGAGAAUCUCCUGCUGCGUGGUGUUGGUUGGAAAGUUUCGGCGGUGCGGGAUGGACUCGCGGCUUAUCAGCUUGUUGGUGUGGUAGUUGCUUACCAAGGCUUUGACGGAUAGCCGGCCUGGGAGGGUGAACGGCCACAUUGGUCCUGAGAUACGCCCCAGACUGCUACGGGAGGCAGCAGUGGGGAAUAUGGCACAAUGGGGGGACGCCUGUUGCAGCAACGUCGCGUGCGGGAUGACGGCUUUCUGGUGGUAAACCGAUUUCGCAGGUGACGAAGCGAGCGUGACGGUAACGGGUAAAGAAGCAACGGCUAACUACGUG